RNAcentral lists this ribosomal RNA (446 nucleotides) under uncultured bacterium. Its description in RNAcentral is "partial 16S ribosomal RNA". It matches the Rfam family "Bacterial small subunit ribosomal RNA", at positions 329 to 792 of the family's 1533-position model. The record is from RNAcentral.
UUCCAGACUCCUACGGGAGGCAGCAGUGGGGAAUAUUGCACAAUGGGGGAAACCCUGAUGCAGCGACGCCGCGUGAGCGAUGAAGUAUUUCGGUAUGUAAAGCUCUAUCAGCAGGGAAGAAGAUGACGGUACCUGACUAAGAAGCCCCGGCUAACUACGUGCCAGCAGCCGCGGUAAUACGUAGGGGGCAAGCGUUAUCCGGAUUUACUGGGUGUAAAGGGAGCGUAGACGGCGAUGCAAGCCAGAUGUGAAAGCCCGGGGCUCAACCCCGGGACUGCUCUUGGAACUGCGUGGCUGGAGUGCAGGAGGGGCAGGCGGAAUUCCUGGUGUAGCGGUGAAAUGCGUAGAUAUCAGGAGGAACACCGGCGGCGAAGGCGGCCUGCUGGACCGUGACUGACGUUGAGGCUCGAGAGCGUGGGGAGCAAACAGGAUUAGAUACCCUCGUA